AUGCUCCCUUUGGCAGCACAUAUACUGAAAUUGGAAUGAUACAGAGAUUAACAUGGCCCCUGCGCAAGGAUGCCAUGCAAAUUCAUGAAGCAUUCCAUAUUCAU
Molecule: small nuclear RNA, 104 nt
Organism: Cricetulus griseus (Chinese hamster)
Lineage: Eukaryota; Metazoa; Chordata; Mammalia; Rodentia; Cricetidae
Source: Ensembl